This 28-nucleotide small RNA is filed under the name Bombyx mori (domestic silkworm). Its description in RNAcentral is "ovarian small RNA-14245". Lineage: Eukaryota; Metazoa; Arthropoda; Insecta; Lepidoptera; Bombycidae. The record is from RNAcentral.
CGAUAAUGUGACAAAGACGAAGGAUUGC